RNAcentral lists this unclassified non-coding RNA (306 nucleotides) under plant metagenome. Its description in RNAcentral is "partial contains 5.8S ribosomal RNA, internal transcribed spacer 2, and large subunit ribosomal RNA". The stretch from base 1 to 105 matches the Rfam family "5.8S ribosomal RNA", at positions 50 to 154 of the family's 154-position model. The record is from RNAcentral.
GAAAUGCGAUAAGUAAUGUGAAUUGCAGAAUUCAGUGAAUCAUCGAAUCUUUGAACGCACAUUGCGCCCGCCAGUAUUCUGGCGGGCAUGCCUGUCCGAGCGUCAUUUCAACCAUCAAGCCCCCGGGCUUGUGUUGGGGACCUGCGGCUGCCCGCAGGCCCUGAAAACCAGUGGCGGGCUCGCUGUCACACCGAGCGUAGUAGCAAUCACCUCGCUCAGGGCGUGCUGCGGGUUCCGGCCGUUAAACAGCCUUACAAAACCCAAUGUUGACCUCGGAUCAGGUAGGAAGACCCGCUGAGCUUAAGC